Molecule: transfer RNA, 70 nt
Filed under: Tridentarius dentatus
Lineage: Eukaryota; Metazoa; Mollusca; Gastropoda; Littorinimorpha; Strombidae
Description: tRNA-Arg
Source: RNAcentral
GUGCAAAAAACGAGAAAUUUGUAUGCGGUUUCGGCCCGUAAGUUGGGGGUGUAAGUCCCUCUUUGUACUC